Molecule: transfer RNA, 77 nt
Organism: Eutrema salsugineum
Lineage: Eukaryota; Viridiplantae; Streptophyta; Magnoliopsida; Brassicales; Brassicaceae
Rfam family: tRNA
About the family: Transfer RNA (tRNA) molecules are approximately 80 nucleotides in length.
Source: Rfam
UUAGCUCAGUUGGUAGAGCGAAAGACUGUAAUGGGUUCUCUCUAAGAAAUCUUUAUGUCGCCGGUUCGAUUCCGGCA